GUAACGUCAAGACUCAGGGGUAUUAACCCUAGGCUUUUCUUCCCUACUGAAAGUGCUUUACAACCCGCAGGCCUUCUUCACACACGCGGUAUUGCUGGAUCAGGCUUGCGCCCAUUGUCCAAUAUUCCCC
RNAcentral lists this ribosomal RNA (130 nucleotides) under uncultured bacterium. RNAcentral describes it as "partial 16S ribosomal RNA". The record is from RNAcentral.